CCUACGGGAGGCAGCAGUGGGGAAUAUUGGACAAUGGGCGGAAGCCUGAUCCAGCAAUACCGCGUGUGUGAAGAAGGCCUGAGGGUUGUAAAGCACUUUCAAUAGGAAGGAAUACCUAUCCAUUAAUACUGGGUAGACUGACAUUACCUAUACAAGAAGCACCGGCUAACUCCGUGCCAGCAGCCGCGGUAAUACGGAGGGUGCAAGCGUUGAUCGGAAUUGCUGGGCGUAAACCGGGCGUAGGCGAUGUGAAAGCCCUGGGCUUAACCUGGGAAUGGCAUGUGAUACUGGCGAGCUAGAGUUGAGUAGAGGGGAGUGGAAUUUCAGGUGUAGCGGUGAAAUGCGUAGAGAUCUGAAGGAACACCAGUGGCGAAGGCGACUCCCUGGACUCAAACUGACGCUGAGGUACGAAAGCGUGGGUAGCAAACAGGAUUAGAUACCCUAGUAGUC
RNAcentral lists this ribosomal RNA (450 nucleotides) under uncultured bacterium. Its description in RNAcentral is "partial 16S ribosomal RNA". It matches the Rfam family "Bacterial small subunit ribosomal RNA", at positions 338 to 795 of the family's 1533-position model. The record is from RNAcentral.